Mus musculus (house mouse) is the source of this 3747-nucleotide long non-coding RNA. RefSeq annotates it as predicted gene, 52119. The record is from RefSeq and is a predicted model, not a curated record. The transcript is spliced from 3 exons. Lineage: Eukaryota; Metazoa; Chordata; Mammalia; Rodentia; Muridae.
GGGAAGGAAAGAGGGAGGAGAUAGGAUCAAUUUUAAAAGUAGCACGAGUUAAUUUAGAAAACAGUUCAAACUCAUCUAUUAAAAUUAACAAUUGUAGUAUAGUUUAAAGUCAGAUUGCUUCUCCGUAUUUAUUUGAGUCCCCCAAAACAAGGCUAUUGCCCCAGGGCUUCCUCCACAGAGUCCAGACACACCCAGCUAGGUUAGCUCAUUUCCAUCCCUGUGCUUGGGUGGUCUGUUACUUUAAGGAGAACUGCACCCCAGAGAUGGUUUCACAGCUGCUGACCCUUCCACCUGCCCUUCUUGGGAGCACCCAGACCCAGUGCUCAGGACAGGGAGGCUGAGAAAACAGGAUUCCACUCCCACGGCAGACUGAGUUAACCAUUCCCUUUGCAAAACAAAACAUUUUUAAAACCCUGACAGUUGAUUUUCUGGAGCAGUCUCCUCAUCUCCUGAUCUCUCCACCCAUCUCCAAGUCAGGCUCCGCUCUUUCCCUCAUCUAUCCUAUUUUACUCUCUUGUAACUAUGAUAAAACACCACGACCAAAAGCAACUUGGGGAGGAAAGGGUUUAUUAGGCGUACACAUCCCAGUCACAGUUUAUUAUUGAAAGAAGCUGAAGCAUAAACUUUAAAGCAGGGCAGGGCCCUUGGAGGCAGAAAUUGAAACAGAGGCCUUGAAGUUAGGCUGUUCACUGGCUCGUUUCCCAUGGCUGGCUCAGUUUUCUUUUUUUCUUUUUUUUUUUUUUUUCUUUUUUACACUAGAGACCACCUGCCCAAGGGUGGCUCUGUGCAUAAUAGGCUGGGUCUGCCCCAGACUUGCCCACAGGCCAAUCUGAUAGACGAGUUUCUCCCUUCCCCCCUUCCCUCCUCCCUCUCUCCACUUGGGGGAGAACAUUUUGAGGUCUCCCUCUACAUGGCUAUUUUGGAACUCACUAUGUAGACCCGGCUGGCCUGAAACUCACAAAGAUCUGCCUGCCUCUGCUGGGAUUAAAGGCACGUGCUACCCACCCAUACCUGAGGUUCCCUCUUCUCAGAAGAUCCUAGCUUGUGUCAAGUUGACAACAACUAACCAUCGAACCAUCCUUCCUCCUUCCCUUUCUGGGGACAUGUAACGCUCCUCUCUCCCACUGAUGAGCGCAGGAGGUAGAAAUUGACUAGACAAGGCUGGGGCGCAGGGAGUGAUCGGCCUUUUCUUGGCUAAAGGCUGGAAAUAGGUCAAAGAUGCCACAAGUGCCUAAGCCAAGUGCCACCAGGCUGGAGAGGCCAGGAAGGAGGUCGUCGUCUCCUACCCCUUUCCUGGACGCCAUACUGAGGCUGUGACCCAAACUGCAAGGACCUCGACACCUGGCAUGAAAGCUGAACUGGAGAUGUGUAGCGGCGGCAGUGGCAGCAGCAGCAGCAGGAAGAGCCCGGCAAUGGGACAGGAUAGGAGGCAAGCUUUAGGGAGAAAAAGGAGAUCCCUGUGAAACUUACUGGACAUUAUAUCUGGCUGCUGCUCUCUGGUUGUCACCCAGGAUCUCUCAACCUCGUCAGUCUCCUGCCCCAGCUCCUUCUAAAAGGUAUGCCAAACUGGCAGUGUGACUCUGGCUUUCCUUAACACCUCUUGCCACUGUAAGCGGUUGCUGAUUAUCAUCAGUUCCAUCGACAGCAGUUCCCCCGCUGCAGGACUCCACUCCUUGUUUUGCAGUGGCGCCCUAGAUACCAUCACAGCCACAACAUCCCCCAAAUUCAUAUUUUAUGAAUACUUACUUGCCAGGCAGUAGGUUACACCCUUUACAUGCCUGCUGCCUCAUUUUAGUCUGGCUAGGAAUUACCACCCUACAGAGGGGAAAAUGAAACUCCAGGAAGCAGAGGCCUGGGACCACAGAGGGCACAGCAGAGUCCACGACUCAAAACCAUCCUGACCUGGAACCCCACAUUCUUGACCAAAACAAUCUAGGUAAUCCACCAGGAUGUUAAAUUUACUAUUUCUCACAGUGAAUUCAUUUCUAUCCCUUCCUCCUGGCUCUCCCAGAAUGUCCUGGUUUAUAAUGACUUUACCUUCAUCUUUCCCAAGACAGGAACUCCAAACCUAGCACAACCUUCACUUCACUGUUUCUCUUUACACUUACAUUCAGUCACCAAGACCUAAAGCCUUGACCUCAGGGUCUCCACCACCCAUCUUUCAAAAUUCUAAUAUCUACCCUGGAUCAAGUCCUUUUUAUUCUUCCUAUGGACUUAGCUCUUCACCAAAAUUUAUGGCUCAAAAAGCUUUAUCAUAUUCACAGUGUUUCUUUCAGAAAGGAGCUGAAGUCAGAAUACAACAAAGCCAGCUCCCGCUGGCCUCACCCUAGGUGGAACUUUUACAGUGCUUAUCAUCUCUACCUUACAUUUCAGAACUUAAUCAGAAAUAGGUGGUCAGCAGUGGUGACCCAGAGGCAGGGGGACCUCUGUGAGUUCAAAGACAGUCUGACUGGUAUUCCAGGACCACUAAGACUGCACAGAGAAAACCUGUCUCAGAAAAAGAAAAGGAAGGAAGAAAGGAAGGAAGGGAGAAAGGAAGGAAGGAAAGAAAGAAGGGAAAAGAAAUAGGCUUGCAUUGUGAUUUAACAACCACAUAAAGAGAUCCCUCUGUCCUAAGGAAUUAGGAUAGGAAAUUAGGAAGCAGAGGCUCUGUUGUGCCACUAGCCCCUAGUGACACAGUGUCUGCCAGCGGUGCUUUGCCUCCAACAGUUCCUAAUUUUAAGUUUCAGAAUGACAUAUGUGACUGUUUUAAUUUGGAUCACAUGUACCUCGAUUAAUGCAGCCUAAGCAACAAAUCACCCCAAACCCACCUGUAAAUAGAGCUUAUGUCCAAAGCACAGAGACACACGCCAUUCUCUCAUCUGUUUAUACAUCUGGCAAGGUGAGCGCCUACCAAAGGUACCCAGUGCUGCCAACAUGCCGUGCCCUCACACCAUGACAGUCACCUGAAGAAAAGACACUCCCAGAUAAAGUCUAACAGCACUCGUAGGAGAUCAAUUCAGCUACACAGAAUGAAGUUAAUUUGACACAUUCUGAAAGCCUCUAGUGGUAAACAGUCAAUAUCCGCUAGGGCAACAGUAAGUUAAACAGAAGUUCACAGUAUCACCGCAAAGAACGGGCACAAAGGAGCUUACAGAGCUGGGGAAGUAGCUCGGUUGGUAGCGCUCUUAUCUAGCACAUACAGGCCUGUGGUGGUGCAGGCCUGUAAUCUCACAAUGGACAAGUGCAGGUAGGAGAAUCUAAAGUUAAAGGGCUUACUCAGCUCUAACCCUAGAUAUGAGAGACCUUGGUUUAAAAAAAAAAAAAAAAAAGAUUUAACAAAAGUGGAAAACUACCCAAAUGGCCAGCAGCACAGACCGCAUAAAACACGACACUCAUACGGCACCAGGAGUGAGCGCACUGCAGAUCUGCAGCAGACACUGGUAUAAAGUCUCUGAUCAACACAACGCUAAGGAAAAGGAAAUGGGGCUGGAGAGAUGACUCAGCAGGCAAGAGCACAGGCUGCACUUGCAGAGGACCUGGGUUCUGCUCCCAGCACCUAUAUGGGGAGUGACAACCAUCCCCAUAUAGCUACACUUCCAAAGGAUUUUUCCAAAGAGUGGGAUUCCUCACGCUUCUGACCCCCACAGAUACUAGGCACAAACAUGGUUCAAAUAUAUGUAUAUAUGCAGGUGAAACACUCUGACACAUAAAGUAAAAGUUGAUCUUUUAAAAGAAGAAAAGAAAGAGGGGGCUGGUGAGAUGGCU